AUUGAACGCUGGCGGCAGGCCUAACACAUGCAAGUCGAACGAGUGGCAGACGGGUGAGUAAUGUCUGGGAAACUGCCUGAUGGAGGGGGAUAACUACUGGAAACGGUAGCUAAUCCCGCUUACCAUCAGAUGUGCCCAGCUGGGAUUAGCUUGUUGGUGGGGUAACGGCUCACCACGGCGACGAUCCCUAGUUGGGCGGAGAGGAUGACAGGCCACACUGGAACUUAGGCACGGUCCUAAGUCCCACGCGAGGACGGAGUGGGGCAUUGGGGACAAUUGGCGAAAGGCUGAAGGAGCCAUGCAGCGUCGAUGCAGAAGGGCUGAGGGUUGUAAGGUACUAUCAGCUGGGAGGCGGUACCCGGAGAAGAAGCGCCGGCUAACUCCGUGCCAGCAGCCGCGGUAAUUC
This 406-nucleotide ribosomal RNA is filed under the name uncultured bacterium. RNAcentral describes it as "partial 16S ribosomal RNA". It matches the Rfam family "Bacterial small subunit ribosomal RNA", at positions 29 to 526 of the family's 1533-position model. The record is from RNAcentral.